UACGGAGGGUGCAAGCGUUAUCCGGAAUUACUGGGCGUAAAGAGUUGCGUAGGUGGCAUUGUAAGUUGAUAGUGAAAGCGUCCGGCUCAACCGGAUAAACAUUAUCAAAACUGCAAAGCUAGAGGACAAGAGAGGUCACUGGAAUUCCUAGUGUAGGAGUGAAAUCCGUAGAUAUUAGGAGGAACACCGAUGGCGUAGGCAGGUGACUGGCUUGUUCCUGACACUAAGGCACGAAAGCGUGGGGAGCGAACAGG
This 254-nucleotide ribosomal RNA is filed under the name uncultured bacterium. Its description in RNAcentral is "partial 16S ribosomal RNA". It matches the Rfam family "Bacterial small subunit ribosomal RNA", at positions 524 to 776 of the family's 1533-position model. The record is from RNAcentral.